RNAcentral lists this ribosomal RNA (429 nucleotides) under bacterium. RNAcentral describes it as "partial 16S ribosomal RNA". It matches the Rfam family "Bacterial small subunit ribosomal RNA", at positions 355 to 776 of the family's 1533-position model. The record is from RNAcentral.
UAGGGAAUCUUCGGCAAUGGGGGCAACCCUGACCGAGCAACGCCGCGUGAGUGAAGAAGGUUUUCGGAUCGUAAAGCUCUGUUGUAAGAGAAGAACGUGUGUGAGAGUGGAAAGUUCACACAGUGACGGUAACUUACCAGAAAGGGACUGCUAACUACGUGCCAGCAGCCGCGGUAAUACGUAGGUCCCGAGCGUUGUCCGGAUUUAUUGGGCGUAAAGCGAGCGCAGGCGGUUUAAUAAGUCUGAAGUUAAAGGCAGUGGCUUAACAAUUGUUCGCUUUGGAAACUGUUAAGCUUGAGUGCAGAAGGAGAGAGGGGAAUUCCAUGUGUAGCAGUGAAAUGCGUAGAUGUAUGGAGGAACACCGGUGGCGAAAGCGGCUCUCUGGUCUGUAGCUGCCGCUGAGGAUCGAAAGCGUGGGGAGCAAACAGG